Oncorhynchus gorbuscha (pink salmon) is the source of this 418-nucleotide long non-coding RNA. RefSeq lists it as uncharacterized. NCBI's taxonomy places the organism in Eukaryota, Metazoa, Chordata, Actinopteri, Salmoniformes, Salmonidae. The transcript has 3 exons. The record is from RefSeq and is a predicted model, not a curated record.
CAAAGUGAAAACAUAACGUGUACAAUUCAUUGGUUAGAGAGGUAUCAUAUAUUACUUGUAUUUGUAUCCCCUGUAACUGGUUCUGUGCUAUGUACCAGAUUGUAACCAUUUAUACGAUCAGCACACAUGCAUUUGAUCGUUUUCUGACCUCUGUAAUCGAGAGGCAGUGCUGGAGCCGUGUGAUAAGUCCAACAGGAGUGCAUCCUUCAGACCAUCCGGUGCACAGACAUCCUGUGCCAGUGUGAUCCGAGCGUCCAGUUUUGGAGAGACUACAGCACAUGGAGCCUGUGGGCUGAAAGGUUCAGACAAACGUGGCGUGAAGGAAAGAUGCCAAAAGAAAGAUGCCCAGGGUCCCUGCUCAUCUGAGUGAAUGUGCCUUAGGCAUGCUGCAAGGAGGCAUGAGGACUGCAGAUGUGGC